AGAUUGUAUAUGUCUGAUCAGCAAAUACCCGAUAUAUCGGAUUCCCCAUAAAUUAAUUCUAUAGUUUGAAAUAUCUCCAGCCCAGCCGGUACUGCUACUUUUACCUUCUUCUUUUUUUAUUUGUCUGCAGACGUGUGUAUAUAUAUAUUACUCCAGUUAAUUUCCGCGAACAAAAUAACUAGCUCAUAUGUAUAUAUAUAUAGUUUGAAAUUAACAAACAAAACCCAAUACAAAUACUAUACGCAUGCAACAGUCGCAUAUAUAAUAUGAUAGCCUCUCAUAUAUCAUUGGUUGGUUAAUUGCAGAAGAAAUCAAACGGAAGAAGUGGAGACUCCGACUGCAGUUGGAACUUGAGGAGAAAUGGCCAACACUACAAGUAAAGCCAGCAUCAGAAGUGGGACCAACAGAAGCGUCAACGGCGGCGGCGGCAGCGGCGGCAACACCAGCGGUAACACCAGAAGCGACGCCGUCAACACCACCAUGAAUAUCACAACUGCCCUCGGACUACAAUACUUGUACAUCAAAUUACUCUUCAACUCUAACUGAUGAUCAACCUUGGAAUUCGCAUUCAAAUGAUGAUCCAACCCAUACACCAUCAUUUUCCUAGAUCUACAUGUAAUUCAUUUAUACAGAUUCAGAAUUGACUGCUUCUUGUAUAUAUAUUUAGAGUGAAAGAGAGGAGGAAAGAGAACAAGGAUGUGAAUUCGGUUAUAAAUGCAAUAGGAGAGGAGAGAGGGGGAGUGAUAUAAGUAAUUAAUAGUAUAAUGAAGGAAUAACGACGUGACUUUGCCGUUACGAGACGAAUUCCUAAAGGCUGUUCGUCAUUAGCAUACGUACAAAGUUAGGAGAGCAGAUACGUACGAUUAAUAAAUUAGUCAGUUACGUUGCAAACCAAUUCUAUUUCAG
RNAcentral lists this long non-coding RNA (906 nucleotides) under Panax ginseng (ginseng). Its description in RNAcentral is "long non-coding RNA (PGIN_LNC014745)". The record is from RNAcentral. Lineage: Eukaryota; Viridiplantae; Streptophyta; Magnoliopsida; Apiales; Araliaceae.